This 1488-nucleotide ribosomal RNA is filed under the name human gut metagenome. Its description in RNAcentral is "bacterial SSU rRNA". It matches the Rfam family "Bacterial small subunit ribosomal RNA". The record is from RNAcentral.
GACGAACGCUGGCGGCGUGCCUAAUACAUGCAAGUCGAGCGAGCUGAAUUCAAAGAUUCCUUCGGGAUGAUUUGUUGGACGCUAGCGGCGGAUGGGUGAGUAACACGUGGGCAAUCUGCCCUAAAGACUGGGAUACCACUUGGAAACAGGUGCUAAUACCGGAUAAGAAAGCAGAUCGCAUGAUCAGCUUAUAAAAGGCGGCGUAAGCUGUCGCUAUGGGAUGGCCCCGCGGUGCAUUAGCUAGUUGGUAAGGUAACGGCUUACCAAGGCAAUGAUGCAUAGCCGAGUUGAGAGACUGAUCGGCCACAUUGGGACUGAGACACGGCCCAAACUCCUACGGGAGGCAGCAGUAGGGAAUCUUCCACAAUGGACGCAAGUCUGAUGGAGCAACGCCGCGUGAGUGAAGAAGGCUUUCGGGUCGUAAAACUCUGUUGUUGGAGAAGAAUGGUCGGCAGAGUAACUGUUGUCGGCGUGACGGUAUCCAACCAGAAAGCCACGGCUAACUACGUGCCAGCAGCCGCGGUAAUACGUAGGUGGCAAGCGUUAUCCGGAAUUAUUGGGCGUAAAGGGCUCGUAGGCGGUUCGUCGCGUCCGGUGUGAAAGUCCAUCGCUUAACGGUGGAUCCGCGCCGGGUACGGGCGGGCUUGAGUGCGGUAGGGGAGACUGGAAUUCCCGGUGUAACGGUGGAAUGUGUAGAUAUCGGGAAGAACACCAGUGGCGAAGGCGGCUGUCUGGUCUGUAACUGACGCUGAGGCUCGAAAGCAUGGGUAGCGAACAGGAUUAGAUACCCUGGUAGUCCAUGCCGUAAACGAUGAAUGCUAGGUGUUGGAGGGUUUCCGCCCUUCAGUGCCGCAGCUAACGCAUUAAGCAUUCCGCCUGGGGAGUACGACCGCAAGGUUGAAACUCAAAGGAAUUGACGGGGGCCCGCACAAGCGGUGGAGCAUGUGGUUUAAUUCGAUGCAACGCGAAGAACCUUACCUGGUCUUGACAUCCACAGAACUUAGCAGAGAUGCUUUGGUGCCUUCGGGAACUGUGAGACAGGUGCUGCAUGGCUGUCGUCAGCUCGUGCCGGGAGAUGUUGGGUUAAGUCCCGCAACGAGCGCAACCCUUUUCCUUAUUUGCCAGCACUUCGGGUGGGAACUUUAAGGAUAUUGCCAGUGACAAACUGGAGGAAGGCGGGGACGACGUCAAGUCAUCAUGGCCCUUACGACCAGGGCUACACACGUGCUACAAUGGUCGGUACAAAGGGUUGCUACCUAGCGAUAGGAUGCUAAUCUCAAAAAGCCGAUCGUAGUCCGGAUUGGAGUCUGCAACUCGACUCCAUGAAGUCGGAAUCGCUAGUAAUCGCGGAUCAGAAUGCCGCGGUGAAUACGUUCCCGGGCCUUGUACACACCGCCCGUCACACCAUGGGAGUUUGUUGCACCAGAAGUAGGUAGUCUAACCGUAAGGAGGACGCUUACCACGGUGUGGCCGAUGACUGGGGUGAAG